AUUAGAGUUUGAUCCUGGCUCAGAUUGAACGCUGGCGGCAGGCCUAACACAUGCAAGUCGAACGGUAACAGGAAGAAGCUUGCUUCUUUGCUGACGAGUGGCGGACGGGUGAGUAAUGUCUGGGAAACUGCCUGAUGGAGGGGGAUAACUACUGGAAACGGUAGCUAAUACCGCAUAACGUCGCAAGACCAAAGAGGGGGACCUUCGGGCCUCUUGCCAUCGGAUGUGCCCAGAUGGGAUUAGCUUGUUGGUGGGGUAACGGCUCACCAAGGCGACGAUCCCUAGCUGGUCUGAGAGGAUGACCAGCCACACUGGAACUGAGACACGGUCCAGACUCCUACGGGAGGCAGCAGUGGGGAAUAUUGCACAAUGGGCGCAAGCCUGAUGCAGCCAUGCCGCGUGUAUGAAGAAGGCCUUCGGGUUGUAAAGACUUUCAGCGGGGAGGAAGGGAGUAAAGUUAAUACCUUUGCUCAUUGACGUUACCCGCAGAAGAAGCACCGGCUAACUCCGUGCCAGCAGCCGCGGUAAUACGGAGGGUGCAAGCGUUAAUCGGAAUUACUGGGCGUAAAGCGCACGCAGGCGGUUUGUUAAGUCAGAUGUGAAAUCCCCGGGCUCAACCUGGGAACUGCAUCUGAUACUGGCAAGCUUGAGUCUCGUAGAGGGGGGUAGAWUUCCAGGUGUAGCGGUGAAAUGCGUAGAGAUCUGGAGGAAUACCGGUGGCGAAGGCGGCSCCCUGGACGAAGACUGACGCUCAGGUGCGAAAGCGUGGGGAGCAAACAGGAUUARAUACCCUGSUAGUCCACGCCGUARACGAUGUCGACUUGGAGGUUGUGCCCUUGAGGCGUGGCUUCCGGAGCUAACGCGUUAAGUCGACCGCCUGGGGAGUACGGCCGCAAGGUUAAAACUCAAAUGAAUUGACGGGGGCCCGCACAAGCGGUGGAGCAUGUGGUUUAAUUCGAUGCAACGCGAAGAACCUUACCUGGUCUUGACAUCCACAGAACUUUCCAGAGAUGGAUUGGUGCCUUCGGGAACUGUGAGACAGGUGCUGCAUGGCUGUCGUCAGCUCGUGUUGUGAAAUGUUGGGUUAAGUCCCGCAACGAGCGCAACCCUUAUCCUUUGUUGCCAGCGGUCCGGCCGGGAACUCAAAGGAGACUGCCAGUGAUAAACUGGAGGAAGGUGGGGAUGACGUCAAGUCAUCAUGGCCCUUACGACCAGGGCUACACACGUGCUACAAUGGCGCAUACAAAGAGAAGCGACCUCGCGAGAGCAAGCGGACCUCAUAAAGUGCGUCGUAGUCCGGAUUGGAGUCUGCAACUCGACUCCAUGAAGUCGGAAUCGCUAGUAAUCGUGGAUCAGAAUGCCACGGUGAAUACGUUCCCGGGCCUUGUACACACCGCCCGUCACACCAUGGGAGUGGGUUGCAAAAGAAGUAGGUAGCUUAACCUUCGGGAGGGCGCUUACCACUUUGUGAUUCAUGACUGGGGUGAAGUCGUAACAAGGUAACCGUAGGGGAACCUGCGGCUGGAUCACCUCCUUUCUAAU
RNAcentral lists this ribosomal RNA (1542 nucleotides) under uncultured bacterium. RNAcentral's name for it is "bacterial SSU rRNA". It matches the Rfam family "Bacterial small subunit ribosomal RNA". The record is from RNAcentral.